AGCCAACAGUUGCCAGCAUGUCCUCCGGGGAUGUGGGGACACUGUUGGGACCGCCUCUGGCUAAAGAGGAGGAAGGAAUGGGGCAACGGUAGGUCAGCAUGCCCCGAAUUAUCCGGGCUACACGCGGGCUACAAUGGUCAGGACAAUGGGCAUCAACACCGAAAGGUGAAGGCAAUCUCUUAAACCUGUCCUUAGUUCGGAUUGUGGGCUGCAACUCGCCCACAUGAAGCUGGAAUCUGUAGUAAUCGCGUCUCAAAAUGGCGCGGUGAAUAUGUCCCUGCUCCUU
This 286-nucleotide ribosomal RNA is filed under the name uncultured Methanolinea sp. RNAcentral describes it as "partial 16S ribosomal RNA". It matches the Rfam family "Archaeal small subunit ribosomal RNA", at positions 1055 to 1338 of the family's 1478-position model. Lineage: Archaea; Methanobacteriati; Methanobacteriota; Methanomicrobia; Methanomicrobiales; Methanoregulaceae. The record is from RNAcentral.